UUUGAGAGUUUGAUCCUGGCUCAGGAUGAACGCUGGCGGCGUGCCUAAUACAUGCAAGUCGAACGGGGGUAGCAAUACCCUAGUGGCGAACGGGUGAGUAACACGUAGGUAACCUGCCUUUUAGAUUGGGAUACCCGAAGGAAACUUUGGCUAAUACCGGAUAAUAACAACCGAGGCAUCUCGGAUGUUUGAAAGGGGCCUUUAAAGCCCCACUAAAAGAUGGACCUGCGGCGCAUUAGCUAGUUGGUGAGAUAACAGCCCACCAAGGCGAGGAUGCGUAGCCGAACUGAGAGGUUGAUCGGCCACA
RNAcentral lists this ribosomal RNA (307 nucleotides) under Erysipelotrichaceae bacterium. RNAcentral's name for it is "bacterial SSU rRNA". It matches the Rfam family "Bacterial small subunit ribosomal RNA", at positions 1 to 312 of the family's 1533-position model. The record is from RNAcentral. Lineage: Bacteria; Bacillati; Bacillota; Erysipelotrichia; Erysipelotrichales; Erysipelotrichaceae.